Molecule: long non-coding RNA, 995 nt
Organism: Coffea arabica (coffee)
Lineage: Eukaryota; Viridiplantae; Streptophyta; Magnoliopsida; Gentianales; Rubiaceae
Source: RefSeq, a predicted model, not a curated record
CUUACGGGAAAGCGCAAACGGUGCACCAGUGAGUCGUGAAUACUCGUGAUUGUGCGCCAGGAUAAGAAAGCAAACGUUCGUCUUUGCAGCAGGAGGUUAUUUGAUUUUGGGUUUUUUAUUUAACCGAUCUGAACCGACCGAAUCUCUUUUUAGGACCGAAUUUUACAAUAGACCAGUGAUAACGGGGUCAAAUGCGAAAUCAAGUAGUAGUAAUUGGGGUUUAGGGUUUUAGGUACGAAUGGAAUCCAAGAAAUUCGAAGCUAAGCUGCUUCUAAAGGAUAAACGGUUCUGGUUCGCCUCUGCCCUUAUUGUUUGGGCCGCUGCUCUCCAGGGACAUAUGAUGUGGUUACGGAGGCAAGAUUCUUUCAAGCAGAAGUUUGGAAAUGUAGAGCAGGACAAAGAUCAAAGCAGGAAUUAGCUGAAAAUCAUCACUAGUUGAAUCAUUUGCUCAAAUUACUGUCUUUGUUACUUUAGCUAAAUGCUUGUUGGAAAUUUCGUGACAAUGGCAACUAUGUACGAGUGUUAAUUGGUUGAAUGGACACUGGCAAUCAGUGUAACACACCAAAAGGAUCUCUGUGGUCAGCCAGUUGCCAUGCCACUGUGCAGUGCUGGUAUAGUUGGCUGCUGGUGGUGCCUACUAUGGCUUCUGUCCUAGCCUGGCCUACAUGUUUCGUUGGUUGAUACUUGGAAGGCGCUUCAAUUCUCCCACAUUUUCACCCACUUUUGGAUUGCUGCAACAUAAAAUCCAUCUAGGGAUCCAUGAAGAUUUGCUUGUCAUCUACUUUAUAUAGGAGAUGUUACAGUUGAGUUAUAAAUUAGUGUUUUGAGAUUUUAUCGCCAUUUAUGUAAUUGUGUGAUUCAUGAUCAUAGGCUACAGAUGAUAGCGGUUGGGCAUCCAUAUCCAAGGUUAUCUUGUAGCAAAUAUUGGAUGGUUCAAGAUAUGCUUUAGAACAGGUUGAUGAACAUUUUUUGGUAACCAAAACCUAUUUCUGUUC